AGCGAACGCUGGCGGCAGGCUUAACACAUGCAAGUCGAGCGGGCCCUUCGGGGUCAGCGGCUGACGGGUGAGCAACGCGUGGGAACGUGCCUUCUUGUCUGGAAUAACCCUGGGAAACUAGGGCUAAUACCGGAUACGCCCAUUUGGGGGAAGGUUUACUGCCGGAAGAUCGGCCCGGGUCUGUUUAGCUAGUUGGUAGGGUAACGGCCUACCCAGGCGACGAAUAGUAGCUGGGCUGAGAGGAUGAUCAGCCACACUGGGACUGAGACCCGGCCCAGACUCCUACGGAAGGGAGCAGAGGGGAAUAUUAGGCAAUGAGCGCAAGCCUAAUCCAGCCGUGCCGGGUAAGUCAUGAAGGGCUUAGGGUUGUAAAGCUCUUUUAUCCGAGACGAUAAUGACGGUACCGGAUAAAUAAGCACCGGCUAACUUCGUG
Molecule: ribosomal RNA, 433 nt
Filed under: uncultured bacterium
Lineage: Bacteria
Description: partial 16S ribosomal RNA
Rfam family: Bacterial small subunit ribosomal RNA
Source: RNAcentral